RNAcentral lists this ribosomal RNA (797 nucleotides) under uncultured bacterium. Its description in RNAcentral is "bacterial SSU rRNA". It matches the Rfam family "Bacterial small subunit ribosomal RNA", at positions 8 to 796 of the family's 1533-position model. The record is from RNAcentral.
AGAGUUUGAUCCUGGCUCAGGAUGAACGCUAGCGGCAGGCUUAAUACAUGCAAGUCGAGGGGCAGCAUGAUUGUAGCAAUACAAUUGAUGGCGACCGGCAAAUGGGUGCGGAACACGUACACAACCUUCCUUCAAGGGGGGAAUAGCCUAGAGAAAUUUGGAUUAAUACCCCGUAAUAUACGAGAAUGGCAUCAUUUUUGUAUUAUAGUAUUUACGCUUGAAGAUGGGUGUGCGUCUGAUUAGGUAGUUGGUAGGGUAACGGCCUACCAAGCCGACGAUCAGUAGCUGAUGUGAGAGCAUGAUCAGCCACACGGGCACUGAGACACGGGCCCGACUCCUACGGGAGGCAGCAGUAAGGAAUAUUGGACAAUGGACGGAAGUCUGAUCCAGCCAUGCCGCGUGAAGGAUUAAGGUCCUCUGGAUUGUAAACUUCUUUUAUUUGGGAAGAAAAAAGGGAAAUCUUUCCCUCUUGACGGUACCAAACGAAUAAGCACCGGCUAACUCCGUGCCAGCAGCCGCGGUAAUACGGAGGGUGCGAGCGUUAUCCGGAUUUACUGGGUUUAAAGGGUGCGUAGGCGGGCAACUAAGUCAGUGGUGAAAUCCUUGAGCUUAACUCGAGAACUGCCAUUGAUACUAUUUGUCUUGAAUAUUGUGGAGGUAAGCGGAAUAUGUCAUGUAGCGGUGAAAUGCUUAGAUAUGACAUAGAACACCUAUUGCGAAGGCAGCUUACUACGCAUAUAUUGACGCUGAGGCACGAAAGCGUGGGGAUCAAACAGGAUUAGAUACCCUGGUAGUCC